This 119-nucleotide small RNA is filed under the name Marmota monax (woodchuck). Lineage: Eukaryota; Metazoa; Chordata; Mammalia; Rodentia; Sciuridae. The record is from RNAcentral.
GCCUGGCGAGGUGGCGCACGCCUGUAAUCCCAGCAGCUCCGGAGGCUGAGACAGGAGGAUCAAAGCCAGCCUCAGCAAUGUAGCUGGGCGCUAAGCAACUCAGUGAGACCCUGUCUCUA